GAUGAACGCUGGCGGCGUGCUUAACACAUGCAAGUCGAGCGAGAAGUUUUGAAAAGAUUCUUCGGAUGAAAUUUAAAAUGGAAAGCGGCGGACGGGUGAGUAACGCGUAGGCAACCUGCCCCAUACAAAGGGAUAGCAUUUGGAAACGAAUAUUAAUACCUUAUGAAACUUAACUAGUGCAUGCUAGGUAGGUCAAAGAUUUAUCGGUAUGGGAUGGGCCUGCGUCUGAUUAGCUAGUUGGUGAGGUAACGGCUCACCAAGGCGACGAUCAGUAGCCGACCUGAGAGGGUGAACGGCCACAUGGGAACUGAGACACGGUACAAACUCCUACGGGAGGCAGCAGUGGGGAAUAUUGCACAAUGGGGGAAACCCUGAUGCAGCAACGCCGCGUGAACGAUGAAGGCCUUUGGGUCGUAAAGUUCUGUUCUAGGUGAUGAAAACUGACAGUAACCGAGGAGAAAGCCCCGGCUAACUCCGUG
This 479-nucleotide ribosomal RNA is filed under the name uncultured bacterium. RNAcentral's name for it is "partial 16S ribosomal RNA". It matches the Rfam family "Bacterial small subunit ribosomal RNA", at positions 28 to 507 of the family's 1533-position model. The record is from RNAcentral.